RNAcentral lists this ribosomal RNA (544 nucleotides) under uncultured Polaromonas sp. RNAcentral describes it as "bacterial SSU rRNA". It matches the Rfam family "Bacterial small subunit ribosomal RNA", at positions 96 to 632 of the family's 1533-position model. The record is from RNAcentral. Lineage: Bacteria; Pseudomonadati; Pseudomonadota; Betaproteobacteria; Burkholderiales; Comamonadaceae.
UGGCGAACGGGUGAGUAAUAUAUCGGAACGUGCCCAGUCGUGGGGGAUAACGUAGAGAAAUUUACGCUAAUACCGCAUGAGAUCUAAGGAUGAAAGCGGGGGACUUCGCAAGAAGCCUCGCGCGACUGGAGCGGCUGAUAUCAGAUUAGGUUGUUGGUGAGGUAAAAGCUCACCAAGCCGACGAUCUGUAGCUGGUUUGAGAGAACGACCAGCCACACUGGGACUGAGACACGGCCCAGACUCCUACGGGAGGCAGCAGUGGGGAAUUUUGGACAAUGGGGGAAACCCUGAUCCAGCAAUGCCGCGUGCAGGAAGAAGGCCUUCGGGUUGUAAACUGCUUUUGUACGGAACGAAAAGGUUUGUCCUAAUACGGCGAGCCCAUGACGGUACCGUAAGAAUAAGCACCGGCUAACUACGUGCCAGCAGCCGCGGUAAUACGUAGGGUGCGAGCGUUAAUCGGAAUUACUGGGCGUAAAGCGUGCGCAGGCGGUGAUGCAAGACAGUUGUGAAAUCCCUGGGCUCAACCUGGGAAUUGCAUCUGUGA